GGAACAGCUUUUUCUAGUUAUUUAUUCUUCCUUUAAUGUAAAUGUAUUUCAUCUUUCUUAUUAGUGGCUUGAUAUUAUUUUUGCCAAAUUUUCACCCUAUCUAUUAUAGGUAUAUGAAUUCCAUACCUGAUGUGUUUCAUCGCUAGCUAAAAGUAACAAGUGGCAUCUUUCUAGAGAGACCAUGCUAUGUUUAGUUUCAUUCUCUGUUUUGACUAUAGGUAUGUGUCACACUAAAAACAAUUUAUACUGGUUUUUAAAUCUGAGUAGCUGGGCACACACUGUACUUAAGUUUUGUGGUUUGCAGAAAUGUCUGUUAGCCUUUGUGGGCUUGAAACUCAAAUAGAAAAACAUUCAAAAUUAAACUUAGAAGAAGAAAGGUGUGUUGACAUAAUGAAAGGAAUGGACACAUUCAUAGAGUCUAGACUCGGAAAACUGUUUUUACCCUUGUGUAAUUAUGGUAAGAUUCUGACUGCGAAAACAGAAUGGUAAUUAAUUUUUACUGGGAUGCAUUAUUAAAAAGAAUGGUUCCGAUAAGAUUAGUUGCUAAAUCUAUUAUGUGUUUUUAAAUAAUGUGGCAGUAUGCCCUGCUGGCCCUGAACGCACCAUACAGGUGCCUGAAUCUAAUUGGUUGUGGUGUUGUCUGUAUAUAAAGGGCCCUCCCUCACCUGGCAGACAUGUUCAGACCUUCUGGUUCAGACCUCGGCGUUUGCUGGUGCUGCAUGCCAGCUGCAUACAAAUGCACGCAUGAAAGACUGACAUUUAUCUCAGACCAAUUCUUCCUGUGGUGGCCAGUACACUGUUUGAUUCCCCUCCCUGCCUGAGGCACUACACAGAGCUCAGGGACGCUGCUGUUUGUCCUUGGCUGGCUGUUUGCCAGACUGUUACUCCGAGCUGCCGCUCGCCUGCUACCUUGGGUAUCCGUCGUCUACUGACUACCCGUCAACCUGGUUGGCGUAAAGCUGGCUCCUGGCCCUCUGUGGCUGAUUUGGGCUGGUUUGCGACCAGCUCUACUGAUUCUUCUGGUGCUUCUCUGGGUGGUGUGAGCUGUGGUGUGGCCGCGUGCCCCAAGACGGAUUCUUAAUUGUAACUGCUGCUUCAGUUGUUGUGGACUAAACUGUAUCACUUAAUGCAUGUCAUUUGAGUGUCUAUUGUAUUUUUGCCAGGAACAGCCAGCUCAUGGUGUUGGCGGUGGACUUUCCGGGUGGUGGUACUUUUUGGUUUGGUACAUGAUUUUCUUUUAUUUUUGUUUGCUGUGUUUCUUUUGUAUGCCACCACCCUGAUUUGGACUGCCACCUAGAGUGAGCCAAACUGUCCUUUUACUGUGUGAUUGGUUUUAAUGUGGUAUGUUUUAUCAAACUGAACCCAAAACAAUUGUGCAAUAAAUAAAA
Molecule: long non-coding RNA, 1388 nt
Organism: Fundulus heteroclitus (mummichog)
Lineage: Eukaryota; Metazoa; Chordata; Actinopteri; Cyprinodontiformes; Fundulidae
Exons: 3
Source: RefSeq, a predicted model, not a curated record